CGGCGGACGGGUGAGUAACGCGUGGGUAACCUGCCCUAGAGUGGGGGGACAACAGUUGGAAACGACUGCUAAUACCGCAUAAGCCCACGGUACCGCAUGGUACUGAGGGAAAAGGAUUUAUUCGCUUUAGGAUGGACUCGCGUCCAAUUAGCUAGUUGGUGAGGUAACGGCCCACCAAGGCGACGAUUGGUAGCCGGACUGAGAGGUUGAACGGCCACAUUGGGACUGAGACACGGUCCAA
This 241-nucleotide ribosomal RNA is filed under the name uncultured bacterium. RNAcentral's name for it is "partial 16S ribosomal RNA". It matches the Rfam family "Bacterial small subunit ribosomal RNA", at positions 96 to 334 of the family's 1533-position model. The record is from RNAcentral.